CCUACGGGUGGCAGCAGUGAGGAAUAUUGGUCAAUGGGAGGAAUCCUGAACCAGCCAUGCCGCGUGCAGGACGACGGCUCUACGAGUUGUAAACUGCUUUUGUACCGGGGUAAAAUGCUCUACGAGUAGGGUUUUGAAAGUACGGUACGAAUAAGGAUCGGCUAACUCCGUGCCAGCAGCCGCGGUAAUACGGAGGGUGCGAGCGUUAAUCGGAAUUACUGGGCGUAAAGCGCUCGUAGGCGGUAUGUCAAGUCAAGGGUGAAAUCCCCGCGCUCAACGUGGGAACUGCCUUUGAAACUGGCAAACUGGAGUGUGUGAGAGGAUAGUGGAAUUCCAGGUGUAGGAGUGAAAUCCGUAGAUAUCUGGAGGAACAUCAGUGGCGAAGGCGACUAUCUGGCACAUAACUGACGCUGAGGAGCGAAAGCGUGGGUAGCAAACAGGAUUAGAUACCCUUGUAGUC
RNAcentral lists this ribosomal RNA (460 nucleotides) under uncultured bacterium. RNAcentral's name for it is "partial 16S ribosomal RNA". It matches the Rfam family "Bacterial small subunit ribosomal RNA", at positions 338 to 795 of the family's 1533-position model. The record is from RNAcentral.